AUUGAACGCUGGCGGCAUGCCUUACACAUGCAAGUCGAACGGUAACAGGUCUUCGGAUGCUGACGAGUGGCGAACGGGUGAGUAAUACAUCGGAACGUGCCCGAUCGUGGGGGAUAACGAAGCGAAAGCUUUGCUAAUACCGCAUAAGAUCUACGGAUGAAAGCGGGGGACCGCAAGGCCUUGCGCGAACGGAGCGGCCGAUGGCAGAUUAGGUAGUUGGUGGGAUAAAAGCUUACCAAGCCGGCGAACUGUAGCUGGUCUGAGAGGACGACCAGCCACACUGGGACUGAGACACGGCCCAGACUCCUACGGGAGGCAGCAGUGGGGAAUUUUGGACAAUGGGCGAAAGCCUGAUCCAGCCAUGCCGCGUGCAGGAUGAAGGCCUUCGGGUUGUAAACUGCUUUUGUACGGAACGAAAAGACUCUGGUUAAUACCUGGGGUCCAUGACGGUACCGUAAGAAUAAGCACCGGCUAACUACGUGCCAGCCGCCGCGGUAA
RNAcentral lists this ribosomal RNA (498 nucleotides) under uncultured bacterium. RNAcentral describes it as "partial 16S ribosomal RNA". It matches the Rfam family "Bacterial small subunit ribosomal RNA", at positions 30 to 523 of the family's 1533-position model. The record is from RNAcentral.